CCUACGGGAGGCUGCAGUGAGGAAUAUUGGUCAAUGGCCGGAAGGCUGAACCAGCCAAGCCGCGUGAAGGACGAAGGUGCCAAGCAUUGUAAACUUCUUCUGUCAAGGGACAAAAUCAGGCUCGAGAGCCUGAACGAGGGUAUUGGAAGAAAAAGCAUCGGCUAACACAGUGCAAGCAGCCGCGGUAAUACGGAGGAGUUGAGGGUUAAGCGGAUUUAUGGGGGUAAGAGGGUGCGUAGGCGGACUGUUAAGCCAGCGGUAAAAGCCCGGGGCAAAACCCCGGCGAGCCGUUGAAACUGGGUGUCUUGAGAUGUCGAGAGGUAUGCGGAAUGCGCAGUGUAGCGGUGAAAUGCUUAGAUAUUGCGCAGAACUCCGAUUGCGAAGGCGGCAUACCGGCGGCGAUCUGACGCUGAGGCACGAAAGCGUGGGUAUCGAACAGGAUUAGAUACCCUUGUAGUC
This 459-nucleotide ribosomal RNA is filed under the name uncultured bacterium. RNAcentral describes it as "partial 16S ribosomal RNA". It matches the Rfam family "Bacterial small subunit ribosomal RNA", at positions 338 to 795 of the family's 1533-position model. The record is from RNAcentral.